Molecule: transfer RNA, 91 nt
Filed under: Clostridiales bacterium
Lineage: Bacteria; Bacillati; Bacillota; Clostridia; Eubacteriales
Description: tRNA-Ser
Rfam family: tRNA
About the family: Transfer RNA (tRNA) molecules are approximately 80 nucleotides in length. Their secondary structure includes four short double-helical elements and three loops (D, anti-codon, and T loops).
Source: RNAcentral
GGAGAAAUGGCUGAGCGGUUGAAGGCGCACGAUUGGAAAUCGUGUAUACGUUAAUAGCGUAUCCAGGGUUCAAACCCCUGUUUCUCCGCCA